Betta splendens (Siamese fighting fish) is the source of this 6904-nucleotide long non-coding RNA. RefSeq lists it as uncharacterized. NCBI's taxonomy places the organism in Eukaryota, Metazoa, Chordata, Actinopteri, Anabantiformes, Osphronemidae. The transcript is spliced from 3 exons. The record is from RefSeq and is a predicted model, not a curated record.
GAUAUUUUGUGCUGGGGGUUUUGUGUCUCUGCUGUCGGCGUCGUUCGUGUGCUUCUGCUCAGUUUCCUCAGGUUGGUUCCUGUGAUGUGGCGUUUCAGCAGAAAGACACCAGACGGGCUGAGUGGGCGAGUUCUGGCUCCAGCAGGUCCAUCUGAGCUGGCUCUGACGCCUUCCUCGUUGGGGCCUUUAAUCUUAAAGCCGUUGGCAGAGGCCUCCCACACACGCACCUGGACCCAGAACCGGCGCCGUCGGCCCAGAGGCCCCGGACCUCCAGAGACGGAGCUAUUUGUGCUGCGCCCCAGUUCAUCCAGCAGCAGCCUGACGAGCCGGGUCCGGACCCUGUGCUUCAUCACUUUCUGUCUCUGCUAAAAACAACAGCGAUGCAGAGGAACCAAAUAUUUCACUGUGGUGCUUUGAACGUGACAGACCUCCUCCAUGGAUCCACCUGCUCCUCUGCUUGCUGAGACUGCGGAUGCGCUGUGAUCGGUCACACACAGCUCAGAUCUUCUCUCAUUAAGUGCUGUGAAACCUGGCAGCUGCAGCCGCUGACUCCGGGAUCUCGGCCUCAAUGUCUCAUGAACCAGAGCCUCUCGACGCGCCAACAGAAGCAGGUCGGCGCCGGGUCCCACCGGGCCGCGGACCCCCCACCUCGGUGGGUGGACCCGCCUCCACGGGCUCUGCUGUGGUGACAGAUGAGGAGACGCCGGUCAGAACAACGACCUGUGGCUCCUCCGCUCAAAGAGGCUUCAGUUCCAUCAUGAGGAGGAAUCUCUGCUCAGAGAAUGACGCCGAACAUGAAAGGCUCCUCAGCGCGUCUGUGGAGCUUCCUGUCGACUUCGGCGCCCUGCAGGGGGCAGCGUUGGGCAGAGGAUGGAGCCCAGCGGACUCUGGAUCCACCGAUGGUCCCUGAGCCGGUCUGUGGUCCUGAGGUCCUGAACAUCAUCACCAUGAAGAGGAUGAAGGAGAGGCAGAGCACAACAAACCAGGAAGUUCAAAUGAACACAGACCAAGAUGAAGAGUUCAAAAAGAGAGGAGCAGCGUGAAGGUCUCAGCAGAACAAUGACCUCGGCUCAUUAUGAGUCUGACGAAUCUACAGGAGGUCUAUAAAGAAGUGAAGCCAUAGCUUGUGCUUGUUGCUGCCUGUGAAGCCUCCUCUGAGUCCAUCGGUGUGUGUUGAGUCUGACGUGAACAUUAAAGAGCUCGAUUAGUGACGAUCGCUUGUUUUAGAGACAAGUUGAUCAGCGCGUUGCUGCUUUUCUUAACAGCAGAAUAAAGAGGUUCUGAUCACGUGAUCCAGGUUCUGGUGAAAGGGAUGAUGACAGUUGUUCCUCAGUAGCUUUAAACACAACAACACAGGCGUCUGUCUGUCUGUUAGCGGAGGAAUCUGCAGAAAAUAGACGAGGUCUGAUGUCAAACCCUGAGCAGCCUGGUCCCUGACACCUGUGGACCGGAGCCGGCCUGAGCUGGGACCACCUACAGGUUCUGUCCCUGGAGCUACCGCUCCGUCUGAGCAGGAGCGAGGAGGAAGCGAUCGGCGGUCACUGUGUUUGAUUCUGCUAAAGUGAAGCUUUUAGAGCCUCUUCAUCUCAGAACCUGCUGCUGAGUGGGUGAAACGUCUUUAAAGUGGUUUCACAGGAUCAGAGCUUCCAUCCCAGCGAGAGCGGCUCCUGUUAUUUUUAAACUCCAGAGGUUACAUGGCUCCAUAAAUCACAUGGCCCUCUGUGUCCGAAGGUUCUGGCUCAGCCCGGCUGCCUGUCCGGGCUGGAUUUAUGAGCCCAGCUCGUCCUGCUCUGGACGCUGCCGCUCUCCUGUGCACUUGUCUACAUAUUUAGAAAGCGUGUGGGGUGAGAGCGGCUGCAGGGACCGCACGCUCCAGCCGGGCCCCCCCAGGUUCCCUCCCGGGUCGAACCCAGGGACCCGGGAGGGCCCGGGCCCCACAUUCAACCUGAGGCACUGGAGCCUGGACCCACUGUCACAUUCAUCUGGUGAAACUAGCUUUGGCAGCUUGGGAGGGGGAGACGCCACCUGAGGGGGACCGGGCCCUGAGAUCCAACACUGAAACAGCAGUAGAAGCAGAUUGGAGGGAACACGUUCCGUCUGCCAAGCGUUGGAAGACGCACCUUCCCUGCACCCAGCGUCUGGCAGCGGAUCCUCGGUCACGUCAUCACCAGGCCCACAGUGAGCUCCAUUCACUGUGCUGUAUGUGAGGGUCCAAACAGGCCCGUGAGACGGGUUCCUCCUUCCAGUCAAACCCUCACAGAACCAGACAAACUCAAACUUUGUAGUGCUGUUACAGCUGAUCUGCCUCGUAGUCGGACGUUCUCUCUCUGACGGAGCAGGAAGCAGAGCGUCAGUCAGUCGAAUCACACACGGCGGCAGAUAUGAAACAUGAUUAAUAAGGAGGUCAAAGCUCAGCUACCACAGACAGAUUCACUGAUCUACAGCUUAGGAACAAGGUGGCGUCAGACUGAAGCUUCCUCUUUUCCGUUGCAUUUUGGACACUUCCUGUAGAAUCAGCUUCACCUCCCUGUUUGACGCGGGGAAGGUUCUGUCCUCCCUCCAGGAAUGCGGCUCCGUUUCAGCCACGAGGGUCUGAGUGCGGGACUUUGAAGUUCCUGCUGUGGAAACAGGGCCAGGAAUCACCUGCCAUAAAGUCGAGUGCGUAAGCGCCGAGCUAUUUGUUCUGGUGCCUGGGUGGUUACGGGCCUCCAGGGAGGCUGGGCCGGGCCCCUGUGAGAUCACAUGGGGCGGAGGUGGAACUAAUGGGCCCAUGUGUUCACAGACACUUCUAAGAACCAGAUGCGGUUGAUCAAGUUUUUCACAGCAGCUUCCCUGGGGAGAAGAGAACGGGACGGGUCGAACUUCACACGCACCCGGUUGGUUCUGACAGCAACGCUCUCUAUUACUCAGUCGAGUCUCCAUGGACGUGAUGAAGGGAUUCAUACUCACAUCUGUCUCCAUGUGAUCGGCGGCCCCAGUAAAAGUCAGGCCCAGGCCGAGGCGCAGAGCUUGUCCUGACCCCGGGAUAGGACCGGGUAAUGGUUACCAUCUUCACCUGAGGGACUCUCCCUGCAUCUGCUUCAGCCCCAUCGUCCACAUGAGCUCAUCUGUUGGUUUAAACACUGCGAGUCCAAUUAGUGAACUUUAACCCAAUCAGACUGGCAAGUCCAACUUAAUGUCUGACAGCUGUCCAACACCUCUGGAUGCUGGACAGACAGACAAACGGAUGGAUGGACAGACAUACGGACAGAGACUGACGGAUGGACAGACAUACAGACAGAGACGGAUUGAAGGACAGACAGACAGAAGGAAGGACAGACAGAGACUGACGGAAGGACAGACAGACACAGAGAUGGAAACAGAGACGUAAGGAUGGACAGACAUACAGACACAGGGCCAGAAACAGAGACGUAAGGAUGGACAGACAUACAGACAGAGACGGACGGAAGGACAGCUAGACAGACGGACCGAUCGAUGGACGGACAGACAGACAGACACAGAGACGAAAACAAAGACGUAAGGAUGAACAGACAUGAAGACAGAGACGUAUGAUGGACAGACAUACAGACAGAGACGGACGGAAGGACAGAUAGACAGACAGAUACAAAGACGUAAGGACGGACAGACAUACAGACAGACAAAACAGAGACAUAUGAUGGACAGACAUACAGACAGAGACGGAUGGAAGGACAGAUAGACAGACGGACCAACGGAUGGAUGGACAGACAUACAGACAGAGACGGACGGAUGGACAGACAUACAGACAGAGACGGACGGAAGGACAGACAGACAGAGACGGACGGAAGGACAGACAGACAGAGACGGAAGGAAGGACAGACAGACAGAGACGGAACGACAGGCAGACACAGAGAUGGAAACAGAGACGUAAGGAUGGACAGACAUACAGACACAGGGCCAGAAACAGAGACGUAAGGAUGAACAGACAUACAGACAGAGACGGACGGAAGGACAGCUAGACAGACGGACCGAUGGAUGGACAGACAGACAGACAGACACAGAGACGAAAACAAAGACGUAAGGAUGAACAGACAUGAAGACAGAGACGUAUGAUGGACAGACAUACAGACAGAGACUGACGGAAGGACAGAAAGACAUACAGACCGACGGAUGGAUGGACAGACAUACAGACAGAGACGGAUGGAAGGACAGAAAGACAUACAGACCGACGGAUGGAUGGACAGACAUACAGACAGAGACGGACGGAAGGACAGAAAGACAGACGGACCGACGGAUGGAUGGACAGACAUACAGACAGAGAGGGACAGACACAGAGACGGAUACGAAGACGUAAGGAUGGACAGACAGAGACGAAACAGAGACAUAUGAUGGACAGACAUACAGACAGAGACGGAAGGACAGACAGACAGAGACGGACGGAAGGACAGACAUACAGACGGACGGAUGGACACAGAGACGGACGGAAGGACAGAUAGAUAGACAGACAGACGAACGGAUGGAGGGGUGGACAGACAUACAGUCAUACAGACAGAAACAGAGACGGACGGACAGAUAGACAGACGAACGGACGGAUGGACGGACAAAGACACAGACAGAUGAGGGAAACAGGAAGCAGCAUCAAAAUAAAACGUGGCUGAUGGUGGAGCCCCUCAUCACCACGGCGGUGGGUCAGAACCUCUGGCUCCAGCAGCUGGAUGAGCCAGAGCCCGAUGGACAUGGAGCAAUGAAAACACAGCCCAAAGCCUUAAACCUGCAGCCUUUACGUGUCCACGUGCGUCUGAACUGAUGGUUCUGUUCUGCUGAGGUUUGCAGAUUUCACUUCAUCGCUUUCGUGUGAGGACACGUGGCCCUGAAUUGCUCACAGCAACGUGAUUUACUGCCAACACAGGAGCCCUUCGCUCCGACGUCAGUGCUGUGAGGUCUAAGCGCUUCGCUAGCUGAUGGCUAAAGCAGCCGGCGCCGUAAAACACGCGGCUCGUUGAAGUGGAUCCAACAGAUCCGGGUCAUUUAGUCGCAUUUUCAUUGACGUACUGUCAAAGAACCAAUAUUAAUCCCACUGUCCUGAUCUUCUAACUAGUGGAGCGUUUAAAAUGCAACCACCUGCACAAACAGGGUUCUACACUAAAUCUCAGCGCAAGCCAGCGCUUCGCUGUAUUUCUGCCCCGACCCAGAACUGUCCGGUACCUUCUCCGCGCUCCACGAAGGGAAGGCGAGUGUUUGUGCGACGUGGGAGCGAGCGGAGCUGGCAGCGCUCGUCUUGUUUGCUCAGUAAACCUCGGAGGCCUGUGUUCUUUCCUUGAGGGAAAUGCCCACAUUGUUGGGCCCGGAGGCCGUGGUUACGGGCCGGCCGGGCCCAGCCAGGCAGGUUGGGACAACAACGAGAUGAAGGUCAGCUCAUAUAGCAGCUAAUUCCACUUCCUGGUCCCCACGACACCCAGGCAGCGUUUAUUUGAAGAUCCCAGACCCUGAAGUCACUCUGCACUUUGUUCAGUCCGUGAGGAACUUCGGUCGGAGCCAAGACUCCAGUUAUUAACGUUUUGUGAUGAGAAGGAGAGAAAAGGUGGGAAGACGCCACGUCACACCUCUUCAAACCUUCUUUAUGGUAAAAAAUCACUUAGAUGCAUGAGGACCUGUUUUAAGAUGGUGGCUCGUAAACGGCCUAUUAACGCCUCAGACUCUUAAACGAGGUGAAUCAACCGAUCCGUCCGUCAACGGCUGCUCUGUGUGAAAUGUAAAUCAUUUCACUUUCACAUUUAAAAACAACAACAUUCCAGCAGGAAUGUCAAGCUGAGCUAGAAGUCAGCUCCGACGGCUCAUUAGGACGUGAAGGACCCUCGUCCACUCACAUCCAUUAAAACGAGCUGGUUUAUGCCCUGAUUGUCUUCACCAUCAUUUAACCUUGAGAAAGCAGGAGGGGGUGAAAAUAUAGCACAGAGCAUCUAAAAGCCAAGUGGCCUAAUCCUGCAUGCACAUGGAAAUGAGAGACGAGUGGAGAAGCUGUGCCAGCGUGGAUGGAGGCCUCUCCAGUGGCUUCUCUAGGAAGACGAGAGUCUUUGUGUCCGGGGCAGAAAAACGCAGCUUUUGAUGGAGGGGACGUGAAAGGCCCUCAGGGUUUGAGGCCGUGGACGUGUUGGUGCAUGUGCUUAGUGAUGUGGCCUCUUAUCAAGCACCUCUUUAAGGUCAGCAGAAUCAGUGAGUGGAGCCAGGAGGGCCAAGGAGGCAAGGAAGAAGCAGAGGAGCUCACCUGGACACAGACGCAGAUUAAAGACUUUCAGCCCCGACUCGACGCUAUGCCCCAGGUUUUAAUUCAUCCACGUAGACAUGUGGCACCUGCCAGGAUGCCUUAAGCAGGCAGAGCGUGAGUGGCCAUGGCCCAGAACGCGACAGGGAACGGACUUUAGAGCUUUCGCUUCUUAUGAAUGGAGAAGCUGAGUUUCCUCCUGUUCCCAAACAAUUAAUCCACCUAAGCAGCAGCAGCAGCCUCUCGCUCGAAACUGUACCUGUUGAUGGUUAACACCUGUCAUAGCCUGGACCUAAUUAUGGUCUAACGCCUGUGCUAAUUAAAUUGUUAAUGAAAAGUUUGAAUUACAGCUGUUUGUGCUACUGACAAGGCCUGAAUGGGUUCAAUGAGGCAGAAGAAAUAAUAAACCUGAGUCAGAGGAAUCAGGGGAUUCUGAUCUGGAAGAGCUUUAGUGGUGAACAUAGUAUUACUGGAAAAGCAGGGUCAAAACCAGCUUUCAGUUAGCUUUAUCUGAAAGGAAACGUCUCAAACCUGUAAUUGUAAAACAGGUGACAAGGUUUUCUUCAUCAAAAUAUUGCAGGUUGUCUGUGAAAUAGUAACUAGAGGAAGCUUUUAAAUUCAAAGCCUGAGAACAUGGGUCCACAUGGAACCGGAACCUUGUUUCCGGUUUCAGAUGUUCUGUAA